Molecule: long non-coding RNA, 799 nt
Organism: Cottoperca gobio
Lineage: Eukaryota; Metazoa; Chordata; Actinopteri; Perciformes; Bovichtidae
Exons: 3
Source: RefSeq, a predicted model, not a curated record
ACUCACCACAGAUUUAGGGACACGAGGCACGGGCUUGUUAGGAACUCAAGAAAAUUGAAUCCUGUCGCCAGGAACUGGGUUACACAAUAACACAAUAGUAACACCAUGUAGUUCUAUAAAUAAACUGUAAGAGCUUCCCACUCCUUCCCUUCUCUCCUCCCACCUCCUUGAUGUCCAACAUUAAACAGGCUGCCAUGACAUCUUCUCGUGUGAGCGAGUGAGUAGGUGUCAAGUCAAACUGAAGCUGUCAAGUCAAGCUGGAGCUGUCCAGAUAGUAAUGGGACAAACCGGAUGUGACCAAUCUGCCUGAGUGUCCCAUUUAAAAGAGCGCCGCUUGGCGUUAUGGAAGCGCAGAGAGGAUGUGUUCGUGACUACGUCGAAAUCCGGACCAAGAUUGUGCAGGGCCCAAAUAUCUAUCGAGACCAAAGAGGCAGCCGGUAACACGCUGAACCUUUUAGCUUGAGAGACUGUUACCUGCUGGAGAUCGCUGCCGCUACUCGUUUGAUUGACGCUGGAUUUAUGUCAUGAUCGGUAGCGCACUUGUGUGUGUGGCUCGCUGUGGAAACCCGUCUGUUGGAUCAGGAUGAAGAUGAGAACGUCCGGAGCUCUAUGUGGCUUCUUCCUGUUGACACUCGUUGUCCUCGCCGCCGCCAGGCCGAGAGCAGUGUCACAGGAUGUAAACAGUGACACCUCUUGCAGAGGAGAGUCAGGUUGGAGAUCGAGGUGAAGGACCCGUGUGCCUGUGAGGGUCUGGUGGAGUUCCAGCAAGCUACCAUGAGCAGCCUGGAGCAGAUCACAC